UGGGAAUUUGGACAAUGGGGCAACCUGAUCCAGCAAUGCCGCGUGUGUGAAGAAGGCCUUCGGGUUGUAAAGCACUUUUGUCCGGAAAGAAAACGCCGUGGUUAAUACCCGUGGCGGAUGACGGUACCGGAAGAAUAAGCACCGGCUAACUACGUGCCAGCAGCCGCGGUAAUACGUAGGGUGCAAGCGUUAAUCGGAAUUACUGGGCGUAAAGCGUGCGCAGGCGGUCCGCUAAGACAGAUGUGAAAAUCCCCCGGGCUUAACCUGGGAACUGCAUUUGUGACUGGCGGGCUAGAGUAUGGCAGAGGGGGGUAGAAUUCCACGUGUAGCAGUGAAAUGCGUAGAGAUGUGGAGGAAUACCGAUGGCGAAGGCAGCCCCCUGGGCCAAUACUGACGCUCAUGCACGAAAGCGUGGGGGAGCAAACAGGAUUAGAUACCCUGGUAGUCCACGCCCUAAACGAUGU
RNAcentral lists this ribosomal RNA (464 nucleotides) under uncultured bacterium. Its description in RNAcentral is "partial 16S ribosomal RNA". It matches the Rfam family "Bacterial small subunit ribosomal RNA", at positions 357 to 812 of the family's 1533-position model. The record is from RNAcentral.